RNAcentral lists this ribosomal RNA (253 nucleotides) under uncultured bacterium. Its description in RNAcentral is "partial 16S ribosomal RNA". It matches the Rfam family "Bacterial small subunit ribosomal RNA", at positions 524 to 776 of the family's 1533-position model. The record is from RNAcentral.
UACGUAGGGUGCAAGCGUUGUCCGGAAUUAUUGGGCGUAAAGAGCUCGUAGGCGGUCUGUCGCGUCGGCUGUGAAAACUCGGGGCUCAACCCCGAGCCUGCAGUCGAUACGGGCAGACUAGAGUGCUGUAGGGGAGACUGGAAUUCCUGGUGUAGCGGUGAAAUGCGCAGAUAUCGGGAGGAACACCAGUAGCGAAGGCGGCACUCUGGGCCGGUACUGACGCUGAGGAGCGAAAGCGUGGGGAGCGAACAGG